Non-coding RNA from Mandrillus leucophaeus (drill), 1344 nucleotides. Lineage: Eukaryota; Metazoa; Chordata; Mammalia; Primates; Cercopithecidae. The record is from the annotation of a RefSeq genome assembly.
AUGGGGCCGCAUCCUCACAGCGCAUUCUGUGUUCCAGCAUCCCCGACCAGACCCAAGGUCUUCCCGCUGAGCCUCGAGGGCACCCAGUCAGAUAACGUGGUCGUCGCCUGCCUGGUCCAGGGCUUCUUCCCCCAGGAGCCACUCAACGUGACCUGGAACAAAAGCGGAGCGGGUGUGACCGUCAUAAACUUCCCGCCCAGCCAGGACGCCUCCAGCGGCCUGUACACCACGAGCAGCCAGCUGACCCUGCCGGCCGCACAGUGCCUAGACAGCGAGUCUGUGACAUGCCACGUGGAGCACUACACGAAUCCCAGCCACGAUGUGGCUGUGCGCUGCAGAGUUCUCUCACCCCCAUGUCCCUUAUGUUGCAAGCCCCGACUGUCGCUGCGCCGGCCAGCCCUCGAGGACCUGCUCCUAGGUUCCGAGGCGAACCUCACGUGCACACUGACCGGCCUGAGAGAUCCCUCGGGUGCCACCUUCACCUGGACGCCCUCAAGUGGGAAGAACGCUGUCCAACAGUCACCUGAGCCUGACCCCUGUGGCUGCUACAGUGUGUCCAGUGUCCUGCCUGGCUGUGCUGAGCCAUGGAACAAUAGGGUGACCUUCACCUGCACUGCUAAUCACCCUGAGUUGAAGACCCCACUAACCGCCACCAUCUCAAAAUCCGGAAACACGUUCCGGCCCGAGGUCCACCUGCUGCCGCCGCCGUCGGAGGAGCUGGCCCUGAACGAGCUGGUGACGCUGACGUGCCUGGCACGCGGCUUCAGCCCCGAGGACGUGCUGGUUCGCUGGCUGAAGGGAACAGAGCAGCUGCCCCGUGACAAGUAUCUGACUUGGGAAUCCCGGCAGGAGCCCAGCCAGGGCACCACCACCUUCGCCGUGACCAGCAUACUGCGCGUGGCAGCCGAGGACUGGAAGAAGGGGGACACCUUCUCCUGCAUGGUGGGCCACGAGGCCCUGCCGCUGGCCUUCACACAGAAGACCAUCGACCGCCUGGCGGAUUGGCAGAUGCUGCCUCCCUAUGUGGUGCUGGACUUGCCGCAGGAGACCCUGGAGGAGGAGACCCCUGGUGCCAACCUGUGGCCCACCACCAUCACCUUCCUCACCCUCUUCCUGCUGAGCCUGUUCUAUAGCACAGCACUGACCGUGACCAGCGUCCGGGGUCCAUCUGGCAACAGGGAGGGCCCCCAGUACUGAGCAGGAGCCAGCAAGGCACAGGGAAGAAGUGUGGAGGAACCUCUUGGAGAAGCCAGCUAUGCUUGCCAGAACUCAGCCCUUUCAGAAAUCACCUACCCGCCCUUACUCACAUCCCUUCCAGGUGCAAUAAAGUGGUCCCAAGGAAAA